GGCAGAGCAGGGCUGCCCAGUAGCUGACUCAUCUGACAUUACCAUAAUUACAGCGAUUUUCAAACUGUGAGUAAUGCCUGGUGUCAGAGAAUGUCAGGGAACGUUUCUGAGCACUCCCAGCCGCUGCUCGAGGCUGAACCAAGCCAAGGGCAGGGAAGUGCCCUGGGACACCACCUGCCUCAGCCAGCAGGUAACCCAGGGGCUCCAAGGAUUGAGCUUCUCUGGGACCAUCGCCUCUGGUGUUUAAACGGAGUGUGUCUCCUAGGUGAUUCCAAGCCCAUCGCGUUGACGGUGAAGACUAACCAUCUCAGUUCACAGCUAGAAGAUGAGACACCAGCCUCACCAUUCCCUUCAAAGACGCAUCGCCUGUGGCACCCCUCCCCCAUUCAAAGACGCAUCGCCUGUGACACCACCUCUCCCCCAUUCAAAGACGCAUCACUUGUGACACCCCUCCCCCAAACAUCCACCAUUUAUCUAAUGCCAUGCUGGGAAGCAAGCCUUUAUUACACAGGCCUUUAGGGGACCGGAUGGAGUAGCUAUGUAAUAAAAGUUUGUCCGUGCCCUGAGCAUGUGUAUAGCAUUGAG
This 585-nucleotide long non-coding RNA is filed under the name Cricetulus griseus (Chinese hamster). RNAcentral describes it as "lncRNA (ENSCGRG00015034380.1)". The record is from RNAcentral. Lineage: Eukaryota; Metazoa; Chordata; Mammalia; Rodentia; Cricetidae.